RNAcentral lists this ribosomal RNA (505 nucleotides) under uncultured bacterium. RNAcentral's name for it is "partial 16S ribosomal RNA". It matches the Rfam family "Bacterial small subunit ribosomal RNA", at positions 28 to 507 of the family's 1533-position model. The record is from RNAcentral.
GACGAACGCUGGCGGCGUGCCUAAUACAUGCAGGUAGAACGCACAGUUUAUACCGUAGCUUGCUACACCAUAGACUGUGAGUUGCGAACGGGUGAGUAACGCGUAGGUAACCUGCCUGGUAGCGGGGGAUAACUAUUGGAAACGAUAGCUAAUACCGCAUAAUAUUAAUUAUUGCAUGAUAAUUAAUUGAAAGGUGCAAUUGCACCACUACCAGAUGGACCUGCGUUGUAUUAGCUAGUAGGUGAGGUAACGGCUCACCUAGGCGACGAUACAUAGCCGACCUGAGAGGGUGAUCGGCCACACUGGGACUGAGACACGGCCCAGACUCCUACGGGAGGCAGCAGUAGGGAAUCUUCGGCAAUGGACGAAAGCCUGACCGAGCAACGCCGCGGGAGUGAAGAAGGUUUUCGGAUCGUAAAGCUCUGUUGUAAGAGAAGAACGGGUGUGAGAGUGGAAAGUUCACACUGUGACGGUAUCUUACCAGAAAGGGACGGCUAACUACGUG